Molecule: ribosomal RNA, 253 nt
Filed under: uncultured bacterium
Lineage: Bacteria
Description: partial 16S ribosomal RNA
Rfam family: Bacterial small subunit ribosomal RNA
Source: RNAcentral
UACGUAGGGACCAAGCGUUGUUCGGAUUUACUGGGCGUAAAGGGCGCGCAGGCGGCUCGUGACGUGCCGUGUGACAGCUGGGAGCUCAACUCCCAGCGGCCAGGGUAGACGCACGGACUAGAGGCAGGGAGAGGGCAGUGGAAUACCCGGUGGAGCGGUGAAAUGCGUAGAGAUCGGGUGGAACACCAGGGGCGAAGGCGGCUGCCUGGCCCUGACCUGACGCUGAGGCGCGAGAGCGUGGGGAGCAAACUGG